ACCUGGGAGCCAGAGAAAGGAAAGUAUAAUUAAAUAAGCUCUCCGCAUAGUACACCAAUAUGAAGAUGCCCUUUGUGAAUUUGAGUCAGUGACCUUACACUGGCUUGGCAUUCUUUCUUAUGGGCUGGUUUCUAGUUUACUGGCUGAUUGCUCCUUGAAACUCUGAUAAACUUGAGAGUGUGACUAGAGGCCACAGAGAGGAAGGCUUUCCUGUGUUAAGAUAUUAAGAACUCUUUUCUGUGAGUCUACUCCCACUAUCCCCUACUUGACAGACAGAAGGUAAGAGGAAAAACCCCAAACCAAAAAAAAAAAAAUCAACCCAAAAUGCAAGCCAAUACCACUCUUCCUCUGAAUGGCUGGUCACUGAUCCUUGGAACUGUUGACAAAUUACAACUAGAGAGAAAUUAUUUCUGACAAUGAGAAUUGGAAGAAGAUUGGUUAUUUCCUGGCACAAGGGAGGAAACAAUUUGAUUGAUUUCCAGGGAGUCUCCUCUCAAAAUUGUUUGGGAAGAAAGCAAAGCUCAUAAAAUAACUUUAAGAACAUUUGGUGAAAUCUACGACCUAACCAAAAGGUUUCCGGGUCUCUCCUUCUGAAUUGCCACCUAGGAACCUAGUUUUAGAGGUAUCCUCAUUUGUAUUGGUGCAUGUUAUGAAUAACUCAAAUUGACCGUAUUUGAAUGUUCAACUGCUUGUUGAAGGGACAGAAAUCCCUAACUGAAGUACCUGAAGUAUUCAUCACAAAAAGAUUAAUGCUGCCCUUUUGUGACAGUUUAGACACUGGAGAAUCUCUGACCUGGAUGGGAAUCUGGGAAAUCCUGAGCCCCAGGCUGCCAUGCACAGCAUUGAAGCUAUCAUUUACAGACAUCAUUGCCUCUAUUGCAGUUGGUGUCUGGCCAGCUAAGGACAGUCUCCUCUGUGAAGCAGAGAAUGUAACAGUGCUUUUGAAGUCUGGCAGCUCACUAAAGUGGACUGGAAAAGUUAACAGUACAGGAUGACACUGAUGCCUGAGUCUCAAGCAGUUAAAUCAGAACCCACGAGUUCUGCACUACUGAAGGAGUUUAAAAUACUGCAGAAAAUUCUGAGGUUCUCUCUCUGGUCUGAUGCUUCCUAAACAGGCCAGGCUGGUUGGCCAGUGUCCUUUGGGGAUCCACACUUCUCUGUCUGCUCAGAAUUAGGUUUGUAAGUAUAUACUGGUACAACUGACUUUUACAUUGUUUCUGGAUAUAUACACUUGAGGCCUCAUGCUUCAUGGUAAGUACUUUAUUGACUUCACCAUCUCCAAAGCUCAAAUUUGUUCUUUUUUAUUAAUCAAGAUGUUAUAGACAGCAUCACAGCACUUAUAUGGAACAUCAUUGUGUCUUAUGCAGUGCAGAUGGCAUCUAGACAGCCUCCUACAAUCCUUUCUUCAUGUGCUUCAAUUAUCAACAUGGAAAGUGUUGAAAAAAUGAGUGGAAACAUCUAUUCUAGCAGCACUGCACACUUAGCCCAUUAAGUCAAGUUUGAUAAUACUCUUUUAGUCCUCAAAUGGCAACAAAGAAGUAUUUUGCUUAUUACAACACCCUGCAUUGAAUGGUUUCUGUCCUUAUUAAGCCCAGGAGUUCUCUCCUCCAUGAUAUUGUCCUACCCCUGGGUUUUUAAAAACAUAUUCUCUUCUAAUAGAAGUGUGCAUAGAGUCUUGGGAAUUUUUUCAAGGAUCUUAACUCUCUAAUAAAAUCUUCACAUUAACCAGCUUGCUUCUGUGCAAUAUACCUAGUUAGCUAAUAAUAUGCAACACUGGUAUAUUAAACCGCAUUUAAAGAUCACUCAUUCAGAGCAAUGCCCUAAUAAUAUUUUUUACUGUGAAAAGGAUUAGCAGUGGAUGGUUGACAGGGUAGAUGAAUAGGUAUUUAGCUUUUCUUAGUAUAAAACAUGAAAGCAAGAGCCAAUGUUCUGCUGGGAGAGUUACUUGAGAGUACCUGUUGUGUAUGCAUUACAGGACAUAGAAGGUAUGAUGUGGUUGGAUCACAGCCUCAAGGCCAGUUCUAUUCAUUGUACUUUAUUUUAUUAUUUUUAAAAGAUUUAUCUAUUUUAUUUUAUGAGUAUUUUGUCUGCAUAUAUGCAUGUGCAUACACACAUACAAUUCCUCAAGAGGCCAGAAGAGGGUCAUUGGAUCUUCUAGGAUUUGGAGUUACAGACAGAGAGCUGUGGGCUGCCCUGUGAGUGCUGAAAACAGAAGCAGCUUCUUCUGGAAGAUCAACCGUAAAAUUAACUGCCGAGCCAUCUAUCUUAUAAAGCUACUUUGAAACUGGUAUGUUCUCAAACUGUCUGGGUGGAAGAGUUUCUUGUUUUAGACACUGGGGAAGGACCAGAGUUGACUUAUGUUUCCAUACCACAAAACCGUAGGCUGGGGUGAUUUAAGGAACAAAAACUUGCUUUCUAAUAGUCUGAGGCUGGACGUACCAGACGAAGGUGGCGGCAUGUUUGCUUCUGACAAUGCCUUUCUCUCCUGGCUUGUGGGUUGUAUAUUUUCAGUGUGAUGUCAGAGAGUAUGAGGUGUGGUUCAGUGUGAUGUCAGAGAGUGCGGGGUUCCACAGUCUACCCCGCCACUAGGGUGUAGGAACUUCUUUCAUCAGACAAAAUGGGAGAUGCUGCUCCACUGCAUUUACCCUAUGCCUGCCGUUGGGUGAUGGGCUCAUAGGAAGCCCUGAAGCCCUGCUCAGCGGGGAGGAGGAUGCAGCCUUGGGAGGGGGCCCCAGCCUGAGUGAAAAACAGCAUAGGUUAAGACCAAAGCUGGGGUUCCCAAGUGCCAAGCUCCUGAGUACUCAGUUGCCACUGAAAACCACAUGAGAUUGGGAAUGAAGGGGGCCUGAGGGCCUGCAAAGAGGCUGGGGCUGAGGGUUCUCAGACUCCUGGACAUCCAGAUGCCACUGGAAGUCAUAGAGGAGACAAGAACAGAGGAGGCCCAUAGGCUGAGGAUGAACCUGGGACCUGGUGAUUGGGGAACACCAGAUUAGCUCAUCUAUGAUUGUCUGGGAUCAUGGAGGGGCCUUUUGCUGGAGACUAAGAUGGUGUGGCCUUGAAGAUGAUGAAAGAGACAGUCAGUGUUUAUCCAUAUUGUUUAUAGACUGUUCAUCAUGGAAUAUGAGUACAUACUACCUCCUCAGGUUGGACCCGAGAUUAAAAAUACUUUUUACUGGAAGAAGUGUCUGGGAAGGGAAGCUUAUUGGCUAAACUCCCAGGCCUCUAGACACCUCAUCAACAUGGAGAACUUUGUUCUAAUCUAGGUGAUGAUAGGUAGUGUGGUCAUGUGACAGAGGCCGGGUCAAAAGCAGGUGAGGCUCCUACCAUCCUCUCAGAGGUUCCUGGGCUUCCAAACCAAUCAACUUUACCAAGGUUCCUGGCACGGUCCAUUGUCCCAUAGAGAGGAUGUUCUGAUUUUGCUUCCUUUCAGGACAUUAAUUCUAUUUUAACAAAGUUCCUCUCUUAUGACUUCACUUAACCUUAAUUACUUCUUUUGUAUCAUCUACAAAUACAGGCACAGUGAAGAUUAAGGCUUUAAAGUAUAGAUUCUGAGGAGACAAAUAUUUACAUUAUAGUAGUGGAAAUUCUUUCUUCUUUCUUUCUUUUUUUUUUUCUCUUGGAGCUGAGGACCGAACUCAGGGCCUUGUGUUUGCUAGGCAAGUGCUCUACCACUGAGCUAAAUCCCCAACCCCAGAAAUUCUUGCAUUAAGAGAUGAACAUGAUUCUCUUUGCUCUUCUCUUCUCUGCUCUCAUGCUCUUUGUCUCUGUCCCUUCUCUCCCUAUUCCCCUCCUCACUUCCCUCCAUGUGCCCAUGGCCAGCCUCCUUGCUUCUCCCCUCUUCUACUCUUCUUCUCUCAUUAAACCUCUCCAUGUUGGAAAACAAAAACAAAACAAAACAAAAAAAAACCAAAGAGAUAAACAUGAACAGAAUUAGCAAAAUGAAUAAGAAGAUCCAGAAUCCUUAGAGAAGGAAGAAGAACAGACAGAAAAUGGGAGCAAAGGAACUUUUGGCUUUGUAGCUAUCAAGAAACUGUGAAUUUGGUCCCAGUUCUAUGGCUAAGUAGGUAUGAAAUUCUAUUUAAAUGUAAUUUAGUUUCCUUGGACACAGAAAGCUUUUCCAAUGUGGGGAGCACAAAGAGUAAGGAGGAACUGUAUGAGUGUAAAAUGUGCAAAGGUUAAGGAGAACCAGGCAAUAAAGCAACAACCAUAUGGGUUGUACUGUGGGCAUCCUGAGCUUUUGGACUAAUAUCCACUUAUCAGUGAGUGCAUGCCAUGUGUCUUCUAUUUGUGCACAGUUAACAGCUACACAAUGAUUUACUAUCUUUUUUUAAUUGGAUUUUUAAAAUUUAGAUUUCAAAUGUUAUCCCCUUUCUCAGUUUCUCUCCCCCUGCUUUUAUGAGAGUCUUCUCCCACCCAACGAACUACUCCUUCCUGCUGCCAUGUCCUGACAUUCCCUUAUACUGGGGGGGGUCCAGCCUUGUCAGGACCAAGGGCUUCUCUUCCCAUUGAUGCCCAACAAGGCCAUCCUCUGCUACAUAUGCAGCUGGAGCCAUGGGUCUGUCCAUGUGUACUCUUUGGAUGCGGUUUUAGUCCCUGGGAGCUCUGGUUGGUUGGUAUUGUUGUUCUUAUGGGGUUGCAAACCCCAUCAGCUCCUUGAAUCCUUUCUCUAACUCCUCCCAUAGAGACCCUGUUCUCAGUUCAAUGGCUGGCUGCAAACAUUUGCCUCUGUAUUUGUCAUGCUCUGGCAGAGCCUUUCAGCAGAUAGCUAUAUCAGGCUCUUGUCAGCUUACACUUCUUGGGUCACAGUUACAGAGUGGCUCAACUAGAUCUCACAGAUUAAGAAUCCAGAUGUUUCUUGGACGUUGUUCCCAUUAGGAAGCUGGGCAAGGGAAGGAUCUGUUUCCAACAUCAUUCUGGUUACAGGUAAGAGUUAGGGCCUUUACAGCUGUGGGGCUCAUAUCUUUGAUUUCUUGGGGGCUGUUAGUAAGCUCUCUAAGGGCUCCUAGAAACUAACUCAGGUAUUAGACAACAUGACAUUUUAAUUCUUCAUGGCUAUCAUGAAAAUCAAUCAGUCACAUCAAUAUUUCUCUCUCUAUCUCUUUUGUCUUUUGUCUCUCUUCUUUUAGAAAGGGAUUUGGUGUAUAUUAAAGGCCUGAUGAAUCUAUGAUGAUUUAUAUAUUUAUCAAAAUUGAUUUAUUUGUAAUUUUAACAAAUGACUGAAAUCUAACCAUACCCACACUCAAUGGAUGGUAUUAGGCAUGCUAACAGGGCAUGUAGAACAGGAGGCAAGAAUCCUAACGGUACCUUAGAUUCUACCUAUCACAGAUGCUUUAUGCAAACCUUAUAGAUAAUCAUUACACAGACCCUCUAAGGCCAGUAGUGUUGAGAUUGUUAGGGCUGAAAUCAUGCACCUGGUAGUUUGAUGAUCUAGUUUGAUGAUCAGAAGUGCUAUAUUCUACUGCUUCCUUUUCUUUACAAUACUGCUUUGUCCCAGCAAGGUUUUUGGGUGAUAAUCAAAUGAUCAUUUGAUUUAUAGUUUAAAUAGUUUUCGAUUUUUUCUCUCCAAAAGUGGACAAUAUCAGAAACAAAAACUUGUCUUUUUAUUAAGUACUUCGAAUUUCCCAAGUGGGGUCGCAUAUGACAUUUCAUUCGACCUUCACAGUAAUAAUAAUAGCUUCAAAGAGAGUAAAGGAUUUGCUCAGAAUGUGCAGUUAAUUGCAGAUGAAGAACACAUUCUUUAUGAACACUGCCAGCUCAACAUCUCUUUUGCAACAGCAAGCCAAGACUAUAAAGACUACAUAAAUAUCCUCAGAGGGACAAAGCGAAAGUGGGUGAACUUGCAUGUGUGUGAGUAUGUGUGAAUCUUAAAUCUGGAAGGAAUUGUCAAGUGGAGGAGGCAUGGUUCCAAGGGAGAUUUUGUGGCUAGUUGUUGGCAGUUAUGUUGAAAAGUGAGAGGGAGACAAAGAACAGCAUGGUGAUGAGUGAAUAAACAGAGAGAUCUCAAGAUGAUAUGGUUUUUGAUGAAACCCACAAAGAGGAAACCAAGGGUCCUAUGUCAAUGUCACGAUUUAUGCAAGGCUUAAGAAGGCUGUGGUUCCAUUGGGAAGAUGAUAGUAGAUUUGAACACUCAUUUUAUCUUUCAUGGGUUUUCCCUUGUCUCAUUCCCAGUGUCUUUUUGUGUUGUCAUAAUAAUGAUACAGUUAAUUUAGCUGUUAUAAGAAUUAAACAGCAUGCAAAUUAGUAUACACAAGCACAACCCAUAGACAGUAUGUACCCUCUUUUUUUAAUUUUUAUUUUUUAUUGGAUAUAUUUCUUUAUUUACAUUUUAAUGUUAUUCCCUUUCCUGGUUUCCUGUCCAUACGGCCCCUAUUCCCUCCCCCUCCCCCAUAAGGGUGUUCCCCACCCUUACCAUCCCUCCUUAUCACCUUCCCCAACAUUCCCCUGCCCUGGGGGUCCAACCUUGGCUUCCCCUUCCACUGGUGCCCAACAAGGUUAUCCUCUGCUACAUAUGCAGUUGGAGCCCAGGGUCAGUCCAUGUAUAGUGUUUGGAUUUAGCGGUUUAGUCCCUGGAAGCUCUGAUUGUUUGGCAUUGUUGUUCUUAUGCACCCUCUUAUUACUAUUAUUUUUGUUCUAAAAAGCUUAUUAAAGGAGAACAAUGACUAUGACUUGAUUUUCUAGAAAAUAUGAUAAAUAUUAUUACUAUUAAUAAGAAAUGUUCUAACUUCCAGUUUCUGACUUCACCUGGAGCUGAACUGCUCCUACAGCUCUCUGUAUCCAAAUCCUUUGGGGAAGAGAGCUGGACUCUCAGAAGUUUGGACAAUUCUGAGGACUCAGAGAAGACAACUACUUCUGCCCACAUUCCUGACCCAAGAGAAACCCACAUAGUGCCUUCUGUGCUCUCUGGGAACACCUAGGAGCAGUCAGGAGCAGGCCCUUUCAGUUUCUGCCUGCAUCAAAAGCUGAAAGUCAGUCACCUAGAAUGCUGACUGGAGGCUUCAGGAGACACAAACCAAGGAGCAGCUCUCUGUUCUCAGAUCCACCUGAGAGAAAACAAGUCUACAGGAGGGCUGACACACAGGCUUAUAGGAGGGUUAUGACAAGCUAACACCAGAAACAACCUGAGGAUGAUAGGCAAUCACAAGAAACUAAGCAACAGAAACCAAGACUACUUUGCAUCAUCAGAGCUCAAUUCUCCCACCAAAGCAAACACUGGAUAUCUAAAACACUGGAAAAGCAAGAUUUGGAUUUAAAAACAUAUUUAAUCAUGAUGAUGGAGGACUUUAAGAAGGACAUAAAUAACUCCCUUAAGGAAAUACAGGACAACACAAGUUAAUAAGUAGAAACCCCUUAAAGAGGAAACACAAAAAUCCCUUAAAGAAUUACAGGAAAACACAACCAAACAGGUAAAGGAAUUGAACAAAACCAUCCAGGAUUUAAAAAUAGAAAGAGAAACAAUAAAGAAAACACAAAGGGAGACAACCUUGGAGAUAGAAAACCUAGGAAAGAGAGCAGGAACCAUAGAUGCAAGCAUCACCAAUAGAAAGAAGAGAUGAGAGAAUCUCAGGGGCAGAAGAUACCAUAGAAAACAUUGACACAACCAUCAAAGAGAAUGUAAAAUGCAAAAAGCUCCUAACCCAAAACAUCCAGGAAAUCUAGGACACAAUGAGAAGAUCAAACCUAAGGAAAA
Molecule: non-coding RNA, 7687 nt
Organism: Rattus norvegicus (Norway rat)
Lineage: Eukaryota; Metazoa; Chordata; Mammalia; Rodentia; Muridae
Source: RefSeq, a predicted model, not a curated record